AGAACGAACGCUGGCGGCAGGCUUAACACAUGCAAGUCGAACGCCCCGCAAGGGGGAGUGGCAGACGGGUGAGUAACACGUGGGAACGUGCCCUAAGGUUCGGAACAACUCCGGGAAACUGGAGCUAAUACCGAAUGUGUCCGUAAGGAGAAAGAUUUAUCGCCUUAGGAUCGGCCCGCGUCGGAUUAGCUAGUUGGUGGGGUAAUGGCCUACCAAGGCGACGAUCCGUAGCUGGUCUGAGAGGACGACCAGCCACACUGGGACUGAGACACGGCCCAGACUCCUACGGGAGGCAGCAGUGGGGAAUCUUGGACAAUGGGCGCAAGCCUGAUCCAGCCAUGCCGCGUGGAUGAUGAAGGCCUUAGGGUUGUAAAAUCCUUUCGCCGAGGACGAUAAUGACGGUACUCGGAGAAGAAGCUCCGGCUAACUUCGCGCCAGCAGCCGC
This 445-nucleotide ribosomal RNA is filed under the name uncultured bacterium. RNAcentral's name for it is "SSU rRNA". It matches the Rfam family "Bacterial small subunit ribosomal RNA", at positions 26 to 518 of the family's 1533-position model. The record is from RNAcentral.